GUGGCGGUUCAGGUUUCCAGGGGGAACCCAGCUCACCGGUGAGCCUGCCUCCCGCUUGCGCUUACUGUCUCUCGCCAUCUCCCCUUGAUCACACCCGGUAACUCCCUGACGUCUACCUGUCUACAAUCUAGCCCACAGAAAAAAAAUCUGCCAACUUCCUCCAUAAUGGACCUGAAGAACAUAAGAUUAAAAAGGACAGUGGUAGAGUUCUUAUGCCUCAACUAUAAAAUUUGGCAAAAUCAUUGCUUUCUUAACAACAACAACAAACUAGGUCCCAGUCAAGAACAUAGAAAGAUGGAAGGAAGACAUAUUUUCCUCUCAGCAAAAACAAGAGUGAAGAAUGAUUUUUCUUCACCUCAAAAUCAUCAACCACAGAAGUACAAGAUUCUGCAUUGGCCUCCAUUGGACAUUCUAUGGAGUUUAGAAGAUGACAAUAACGCUGUUGGUGUAACAAGGGAGAAUGUAAAAAGAAAUUGUAUAACCCUCUGGUUCAAAAUUAUUUUAACAAGUGAAUGAUUAGUGAUGUAAUGUUAAGGAUUACAACAAAAAGAAUGUUGAAGAAUGUCAGGCUGCAGGGCUCUUUCCCAAAGAGGAGGCCAUCAUAAGCAUGCUCCUGAGAUGAGGCACUGACCAUUUAAAGGGAGCUGUGGUAGACAAUUCUAUCACUCUCCAGCAAUAGGGAAGAGGAGCUUAAUGGAAAAAUGUAUCACUUUGUAAAGGCAAUGGAUGGAAAGGUUCUUGUCAGGGAAAAAAGUACUUUGUACAUUUUACAAAUACUAAUGAACCAGAAGAGUUAAGGGUAUCAAAGGAAGUGAAUGUCUUUGAUAACCUCUACUCUAGUAUAUGCCCAGAUUAGGGAAAUCAAUUCAUAGGGAUCAGCAAUAAAACUAGACCUAUCUUUAAAUGAUGCUUUAAAAUUUGGGAAGAAAAGCUGGUUUAUAAAUUUUGUGAUAAAGAGUGAAAUCACAUUUAUACCCUUUUAAAAACCAUGAGAAGUCUCAGAAGAUUAGCAGCAAGCACAACAGCAACAAUAUGUAUUGGAAGGAGGGGCAGGAGAAG
Molecule: long non-coding RNA, 1059 nt
Organism: Heterocephalus glaber (naked mole-rat)
Lineage: Eukaryota; Metazoa; Chordata; Mammalia; Rodentia; Bathyergidae
Source: RefSeq, a predicted model, not a curated record